Cercocebus atys (sooty mangabey) is the source of this 1975-nucleotide long non-coding RNA. RefSeq lists it as uncharacterized. The record is from RefSeq and is a predicted model, not a curated record. The transcript is spliced from 2 exons. NCBI's taxonomy places the organism in Eukaryota, Metazoa, Chordata, Mammalia, Primates, Cercopithecidae.
GGGGCCUGGAGGAAGUCACACUCACAUUGAGCUAACAUUCUUUUCUCCUGACCCCAAAUUUUUCUCCCUUAACCAAUUGCAAAUCAGAAAAUCUUUGAAUUUACCUAUUGCCUAUAACACCUCUACAUUCCCCCGAACCCUCCUCCCCUUCAAGAUACCCGAUUCUUUUAAGCCAACAAAUGUGUAACCUUCAUGUACUGACUUAUGACUUUGCCUGUAACUUCUGCUUUCCCGAAUUUUACCCCUGCCUUUAAAAACCCUUACCUGCAAGCUAUUGGGGAAGUCAGGAUUUGAGAGUGAGCUACCUGGUCCUCCUUGCUUGGUGCACUGCAAAUAAAUGUCUUCCUUUCUACUGUUGCGGGACAGUCAGAGACAGGAAAGACCGAACAGAGUUCAGGAAAGCCUUUAUUAAGGUAAUCACCUAGCUCAGUAGGACUAGCGUCCAGGAAAGUCUGAGCCCUGGACAAAGAAAGCAGCCACCUUUUAAGCAGUCAGUGGCCGGGAGCUAUGUGAUGCAGCAAGCAUACUUACAGAAGUGAGAACAAAGGCAGUUGAUCAGUCUUUUACAUUUAUCUAUCCUACAUGUUCUAUAUCCUUGGGAAACUCUGUUUCUGUAACAUAUGCUUAUCAACCUUGUAACUUUGCAGCUGUAGGGAGGUGAAGCAGGAACUCACUGAGCCUCAAGGAAUGUGAAACUGGUGAGUACAGAUAAGGCUUGCUGAGCACAGAAGGAAAAACAGGCAGUUAGUAUCCUUCUCUAAGUUAGACUACGUAGGGCGGGGGACUACACUAAACUUAGCUUUGGAAGGAAAAACUAAAAAUUUCUUGGCGGUCUUUGAUUAUACUUGUAAAAUUCAUGAAUUCCUUCUUCAUCCCCGCUUCGGUGCUUGCCAUCAAUGUAGAUUAAUAAAGAGCACCACAGUUGUUUAUCUUUUCCUGUGUAGGCACAUAUUCUUCCUGGGGAACUGGUUGGUAUUUUUGUAAUGCCAUUAUUUUGGUGGUAGUUGUUCUGUCCACUAUAGCUUUAAUAGUAGACUGGAUGCUUCUGAUGAGGAGAAGUAAAAGACAAGGCAGUAUUAAACAUCCUCCUACUAUAGCUGUAAAACCAAUUAUCAAGGUUUUAAAGCCUCCAAAAGUGAGUUGGGCUCCACGAGGACCAAGUCUGGACUGGGACAUGGGCUAACUUCCUCAUUCUAGCAGUAAUUUCCAUAACAGCUCUUCCAUUAUUACCAAUUUCUAAGCAACAGUUGGUCAAAUUAAGCUUGCCACAAACUUCUCCUUCUGAGGCUACGAGGUAGUCUAAUGCUAGCCUAUUUUGGUAUAUAGCAUCUCUCAUUUGAGUGGCCUGUAUGGCUAACAGAGCCAAGGCUCAGGCUGUUUCAUUGACUAUGAUUUCUGUACUACUUGCAAUCUUAUAAUUUGGUUUAACGUGUAAAUAGGGGUGCGGUAGCCCCAUGAUCCAUCUUGGGCCCAUGUAGCUGGCCCAUAGUAUUUGAUAAUUUUUUCAGAAGGCCAUUCAUUAUCCUUCCAGCUACCUAUCUCAAUGUCCUUCUUUAUGUUUGUGUUUCUCUUUUCUACAGUACUUAUCUGAGUAAAGACGUUUCUUCUGGUCCUUUUUCCUUCUUCAUUAUAGACUGGGUAACUUAAAUCUUCCCCUUAUUUCAGUGGGAGCAAGAAGAAGGACGGCCUUAUUGUCCUUAACACACAGGCUCCGGUCCACUUCUCGGGCAAUAGUUAAUAAGCUUUAGUCCCACAGAUCCAAUAUAGUUCUGCCAGUGCUUUCUAAACAUUUGGAGCAUCUAGUUGAUACCAUAACUGAUUUAGUGCUGGAAACUGAAAGAGAGGGUUAAAAUCUGGUACAGAGGAAUUGUCUAUAAAGCUUCUUCACUAAGUCUUAUUCUUAGACUCUUCAAAAUAUUGCUGACCUAAACAAGUCAUAUCUCCUACUUCAGUUUGAAAGUCUUUUUUCCCCGUC